This 123-nucleotide ribosomal RNA is filed under the name Rothia sp. HMSC066G02. RNAcentral's name for it is "partial 16S ribosomal RNA". It matches the Rfam family "Bacterial small subunit ribosomal RNA", at positions 1419 to 1533 of the family's 1533-position model. Lineage: Bacteria; Bacillati; Actinomycetota; Actinomycetes; Micrococcales; Micrococcaceae. The record is from RNAcentral.
ACCCAAAGCCGGUGGCCUAACCUUUUGGAGGGAGCCGUCUAAGGUGGGAUUGGCGAUUGGGACUAAGUCGUAACAAGGUAGCCGUACCGGAAGGUGCGGCUGGAUCACCUCCUUUCUAAGGAG